AUUGAACGCUGGCGGUAGGCCUAACACAUGCAAGUCGAACGCGAAAGUCCUUCGGGAUGAGUAGAGUGGCGGACGGGUGAGUAACGCGUAGGAAUCUAUCCUGUAGUGGGGGAUAACGUUUCGAAAGGAACGCUAAUACCGCAUACGCCCCAAGGGGGAAAGCGGGGGAUCUUCGGACCUCGUGCUAUAGGAGGAGCCUGCGUCGGAUUAGCUAGUUGGUGAGGUAAAGGCUCACCAAGGCGACGAUCCGUAGCUGGUCUGAGAGGAUGAUCAGCCACACCGGAACUGAGACACGGUCCGGACUCCUACGGGAGGCAGCAGUGGGGAAUAUUGCGCAAUGGGCGAAAGCCUGACGCAGCCAUACCGCGUGUGUGAAGAAGGCCUUCGGGUUGUAAAGCACUUUCAGUGGGGAGGAAAAGCUGGUGGCUAAUAUCCAUCGGCCGUGACGCUACCCACAGAAGAAGCACCGGCUAAUUCCGUGCCAGCCGCCGCGGUAA
RNAcentral lists this ribosomal RNA (497 nucleotides) under uncultured bacterium. RNAcentral describes it as "partial 16S ribosomal RNA". It matches the Rfam family "Bacterial small subunit ribosomal RNA", at positions 29 to 523 of the family's 1533-position model. The record is from RNAcentral.